UACGUGCGGAAUAGAUAAGUGCUGAAAGCAUCUAAGCACGAAACUAGCCUCGAGAUGAGUUUUCCCUGAAGAGAUUCAGUAAGGUCCGUUUGAGACUAAGACGUAGAUAGGUCAGGUGUGUAAGUGUAGUGAUACAUUGAGCUAACUGAUACUAAUGAACCGAGAGUCUUAACCUUACAAC
Molecule: ribosomal RNA, 181 nt
Filed under: Gilliamella sp. Gris3-2
Lineage: Bacteria; Pseudomonadati; Pseudomonadota; Gammaproteobacteria; Orbales; Orbaceae
Description: partial 23S ribosomal RNA
Rfam family: Bacterial large subunit ribosomal RNA
Source: RNAcentral